Long non-coding RNA from Miniopterus natalensis, 1677 nucleotides. RefSeq lists it as uncharacterized. NCBI's taxonomy places the organism in Eukaryota, Metazoa, Chordata, Mammalia, Chiroptera, Miniopteridae. The record is from RefSeq and is a predicted model, not a curated record.
ACUACGUUUCUAAGAAAAACCAAGAAAAGUCCCCGCUCACUUUAAAGGGUGCACAAGGCGGCGAGUCUCCUCUCGGGUAGCCUAGCGCUCUACGGCCAGGUCGCGCUGAUGGUUGCCUGGCAUCACGAAUGGACAAAUGACACGGAACUGUAUGGUUUAAGUGGCGAGUUUUAUGUUAUGUGAAUUUUACCACCAAUAAAACCAAAAGUGCACAAACUCUGGCCUUCAGACACACGGAAAUGUGGGACACGCCAAUGGAAACAUCUGGAAAGGAAGCAGUGGUCCUGGCCAGAAAAAAGGAGCAGCGCUGGGAGGGCCCGGUGUUGCCCUGAGGCCAGUCUGUUUCUUUUGUGCCAAGGGAGAGUCAGGACUAAAGAGACAAUCUCUCACUGUGCAUGGGCUUUGCUAAAUAUCUGACAAACAGCAUCUCGCCUCAUACCUGUGCCGGAAGAGGGGCACUGCGCUCUCAGCUCUUCACUUUGCAGAAAAGAACACGGUGGCUCAGAGGUAAGGUUCCUUACCCUGGGUCACACAGCACAUCCAGCACCUCCACUGCCAGGUUCAUCUGAGGCAGCUGCCAGAGGUGGAACGCACUGAAGAACAGUCCACGUUGCGCUGGAAGUGCUUGUGUCACGCUGUAUCUCAUGAGCAAGGCCUCGCCUCCCUGGAAGGCAGCCAGCCGCCUGUGGACGUCACUGAGCCAAUCCCCAAGGACCUGCCAGCACUUCAAGCGUGAAGAUGCUUUUGCUUAUCGUAAAGGUUGCUGCUUUUACAGGAUUUUCACACACACUUUUUUCUUUUUUAAUUUGACUCUAAUGACUGGCCUGUAAGACAUUUUAAGGUCAACCCCAGGCAGCAGCUUCUGAAAGCUGGUUUCACUCUCACUUUGUUGUCAUUGGAGGGACAUGCUUUCAGAAAGGCAGGCGCCCGCCAGCUCUGCACCAGAAUUCCCCUGCACUGGUGCCAGCCAGGAGGGGCUUCCCCUUCUCGCCUCCUUCCCCCACAAAGCACACAGCCCUGGGACAACCCCUGAGGGAAGAAGACACAAGGUGGGCCAUGAUACCCCAACAGCACCAGUGCCCUGGGACCAGGAGGCCACCCAAAACUGCAGGGAGGAGAAGAGGCCUGCAUUGGAAGGGUCUGCCCAGGGCCCGCCCACUGGCAAUGGGAGCCUAGCAGGAGGAAAAGCACAGAACUGGGAAAGGACAGUUUUCACUACCGUUUGCAUUCUCUGUAGACUGGGGAAGGACACAGAGUAAUAGAAGUAAGGAAACAUGUUCACUGUUCACCAUCUCAUGCUUUUUAAAACCACGGAUGAUAUUACCUAUUCAAAGCAUGUUUGUGUUUGAAAAGCAGGUCACUUCAGAAGAUCUGGAAAACGCAAAAGUACUCAGAAGAAAGUGAAGAUCACCCCGAAUUCCCUCACCCGGAGACGAGCUCUGCCAGGAUUCCCUGCACAGUUUAACACCCGCCUCCCUUCAGGCAACCUCAGAACACAAGUGCCAUUCCACACCCAGAGCCAAACCCCAGGCAACAACCUCACAUGCAGAACUGAAGGUGCCCAGGCUACCCAGGCUGUCCUGGCUGUUCCUGCCUGGCUGCAUGAGGCCUGGCCACAGGGCUUUUGCACCAGCCAGGCCCUCACCUGGACCAGCUUCCUCCCGCCCCCAGCUGCCU